GACGAACGCUGGCGGCGUGCUUAACACAUGCAAGUCGAACGGAAAGGCCCUGCUUUUGUGGGGUGCUCGAUUGGCGAACGGGUGAGUAACACGUGAGUAACCUGCCCUUUACUUUGGGAUAACUUCAGGAAACUGGGGCUAAUACCGGAUAGGAGCUCCUGCUGCAUGGUGGGGGUUGGAAAGUUUCGGCGGUUGGGGAUGGACUCGCGGCUUAUCAGCUUGUUGGUGGGGUAGUGGCUUACCAAGGCUUUGACGGGUAGCCGGCCUGAGAGGGUGACCGGCCACAUUGGGCCUGAGAUACGGCCCAGAAUCCUACGGGCGGCAGCAGUGGGGAAUAUUGCACAAUGGGCGGAAGCCUGAUGCAGCAACGCCGCGUGCGGGAUGAAGGCCUUCGGGUUGUAAACCGCUUUAGCAUGUGACGAAGCGUGAGUGACGGUAAUGGGUAAAGAAGCAACGGCUAACUACGUG
This 468-nucleotide ribosomal RNA is filed under the name uncultured bacterium. Its description in RNAcentral is "partial 16S ribosomal RNA". It matches the Rfam family "Bacterial small subunit ribosomal RNA", at positions 28 to 507 of the family's 1533-position model. The record is from RNAcentral.